GAUGAACGCUGGCGGCGUGCCUAAUACAUGCAAGUCGAGCGAACAGACGAGGAGCUUGCUCCUCUGACGUUAGCGGCGGACGGGUGAGUAACACGUGGAUAACCUACCUAUAAGACUGGGAUAACUUCGGGACACCGGAGCUAAUACCGGAUAAUAUAUUGAACCGCAUGGUUCAAUAGUGAAAGACGGUUUUGCUGUCACUUAUAGAUGGAUCCGCGCCGCAUUAGCUAGUUGGUAAGGUAACGGCUUACCAAGGCAACGAUGCGUAGCCGACCUGAGAGGGUGAUCGGCCACACUGGAACUGAGACACGGUCCAGACUCCUACGGGAGGCAGCAGUAGGGAAUCUUACGCAAUGGGCGAAAGCCUGACGGAGCAACGCCGCGUGAGUGAUGAAGGUCUUCGGAUCGUAAAACUCUGUUAUUAGGGAAGAACAAAUGUGUAAGUAACUAUGCACGUCUUGACGGUACCUAAUCAGAAAGCCACGGCUAACUACGUG
RNAcentral lists this ribosomal RNA (497 nucleotides) under uncultured bacterium. RNAcentral's name for it is "partial 16S ribosomal RNA". It matches the Rfam family "Bacterial small subunit ribosomal RNA", at positions 28 to 507 of the family's 1533-position model. The record is from RNAcentral.